RNAcentral lists this ribosomal RNA (243 nucleotides) under Paenibacillus agri. Its description in RNAcentral is "Bacterial small subunit ribosomal RNA". It matches the Rfam family "Bacterial small subunit ribosomal RNA", at positions 461 to 704 of the family's 1533-position model. Lineage: Bacteria; Bacillati; Bacillota; Bacilli; Caryophanales; Paenibacillaceae. The record is from Rfam by way of RNAcentral.
CUACCGGAGUGACGGUACCUGAGAAGAAAGCCCCGGCUAACUACGUGCCAGCAGCCGCGGUAAUACGUAGGGGGCAAGCGUUGUCCGGAAUUAUUGGGCGUAAAGCGCGCGCAGGCGGCUACUUAAGUCUGGUGUUUAAACCAUGGGCUCAACCUGUGGUCGCACUGGAAACUGGGUGGCUUGAGUACAGAAGAGGAAAGUGGAAUUCCACGUGUAGCGGUGAAAUGCGUAGAGAUGUGGAGG